AUGGCAGCAGGUACGAAGGGCGACGGGCCGGCGAUCGGCAUCGACCUCGGGACGACCUACUCCUGCGUGGCCGUGUGGCGGCCGGUGCACCAACGCGUGGAGGUCAUCGCCAACGACCAGGGCAACCUCACCACGCCUUCCUGCGUCGCCUUCACCGACACCUGGCGUCUCAUCGGCGACGCGGCCACGAACCAGGCCGCCAUGAACCACGCCAACACGGUCUUCGAUGCGAAACGUCUGAUCGGUCGACGAUUCAGCGAAGAGUCGGUACAAGGAGAUAUGAAGUUGUGGCCUUUCAAAGUCAUUUCAGGUCCUAGUAAUCGGCCGAUGACCCUGGUGAAGUACAGGGGCGAGGAGAAGCAGUUCGCAGCUGAAGAGAUCUCCUCCAUGGUGCUUGUCAAGAUGAAGGAGACAGCUGAGGCCUACCUCGGCACCACGGUGAAGGAUGCUGUCAUAACUGUGCCAGUCUACUUCAACGACUCGCAGCGCCAGUCCACCCUUGAUGCUGGUGCCAUUGCUGGCCUCAACGUCACGCGCAUUAUCAACGAGCCAUCCGCUGCAGCCAUCGCCUAUGGUCUCGACAAUGCGUCCGUCAACGGUGGAGCUAAGACGGUGCUGAUAUUUGAUUAUGGUGGUGGCACCUUGGAUAUCUCUAUCAUCAACAUUGACAAUGGCACCUUUAAUGUUAAGGCCACGUCUGGUGACACCCACCUUGGACUUGGAGGGGAGGAUCUCAACAACCGGAUGGUGGAGCAUUUCGUGCAGGAUUUCUUGAAGAAACACAAAAGUGACCUCAGAAGCAACCCGAAGGCGCUGAUGAAGCUUAGAGCGGCCUGCGAGAGGGCCAAAAGGAUGUUGUCUUACACGUCGCAGGUCAAGAUCGAGAUCGAGUCCCUCCACGACGGCAUUGACUUCUAUGGGACCAUCACCCGCGCCCGGUUCGAGGAGCUCAACAUGGACCUCUUCAGCAAGUGCAUUAUGCAUGUGGAGAAGUGCCUCGGUGACGCCAAGAUGGACAAGUCACGGAUUCAGGAGGUCGUGCUCGUCGGGGGCUCCACCAAGAUCCCUAAGGUACAGCAGCUGCUCCAGGAAUUCUUCAACGGGAAGCAACUCUGCAAGGGCAUCAAUCCGGACGAGGCUGUCGCCUAUGGCGCUGCUGUCCAGGCCGCCAUCCUCAACGGCGAGUACAACAAGAAGAUGCAGAACUUUCUCCUGGUUGACGUCACGCCGUUGUCGCUCGGGAUAGAGACAAGAGGUAGUGACAUGUCUGUGGUGAUACCCAGGAACACUACCAUCCCCGUUAAGAUGGAGAGCGGUUACACGACCAGCGUUGACAACCGAACCGUCGUGCUCUUCGAGGUAUACGAGGGUGAAGCGGGCUUGACCAAGGACAGCUAUCUGCUUGGCAUGUUUGAGCUCACUGGCAUCACUCCAGCGCCUCAGGGCGUGCCAUCAUUCAAUGUAACAUUUGAAAUCAAAGCAAAUGGCAUCCUGAACGUGGUGGCGGAGGACAGGGCGACCGGAAACAGGAACAGCAUCACCAUCACCAGCGACAAGGGUGGGCUGACCAAGGAGGAGAUCGAUCGGAUGGUGCGUGAUGCCAACAAGUACAAGUCCGAGGACAAGAAGCAGAUGGCGAAAGUGAAGAAGGAUCAUUGA
Molecule: ribosomal RNA, 1659 nt
Filed under: Triticum aestivum (bread wheat)
Lineage: Eukaryota; Viridiplantae; Streptophyta; Magnoliopsida; Poales; Poaceae
Description: partial small subunit ribosomal RNA
Source: RNAcentral